RNAcentral lists this ribosomal RNA (824 nucleotides) under uncultured Campylobacter sp. RNAcentral's name for it is "bacterial SSU rRNA". It matches the Rfam family "Bacterial small subunit ribosomal RNA", at positions 565 to 1386 of the family's 1533-position model. Lineage: Bacteria; Pseudomonadati; Campylobacterota; Epsilonproteobacteria; Campylobacterales; Campylobacteraceae. The record is from RNAcentral.
GGGCGCGUAGGCGGAUUAUCAAGUCUCUUGUGAAAUCUAAUGGCUUAACCAUUAAACUGCUUGGGAAACUGAUAGUCUAGAGUGAGGGAGAGGCAGAUGGAAUUGGUGGUGUAGGGGUAAAAUCCGUAGAUAUCACCAAGAAUACCCAUUGCGAAGGCGAUCUGCUGGAACUCAACUGACGCUAAGGCGCGAAAGCGUGGGGAGCAAACAGGAUUAGAUACCCUGGUAGUCCACGCCCUAAACGAUGUACACUAGUUGUUGGGAUGCUAGUCAUCUCAGUAAUGCAGCUAACGCAUUAAGUGUACCGCCUGGGGAGUACGGUCGCAAGAUUAAAACUCAAAGGAAUAGACGGGGACCCGCACAAGCGGUGGAGCAUGUGGUUUAAUUCGAAGAUACGCGAAGAACCUUACCUGGGCUUGAUAUCCUAAGAACCUUUUAGAGAUAAGAGGGUGCUAGCUUGCUAGAACUUAGAGACAGGUGCUGCACGGCUGUCGUCAGCUCGUGUCGUGAGAUGUUGGGUUAAGUCCCGCAACGAGCGCAACCCACGUAUUUAGUUGCUAACGGUUCGGCCGAGCACUCUAAAUAGACUGCCUUCGUAAGGAGGAGGAAGGUGUGGACGACGUCAAGUCAUCAUGGCCCUUAUGCCCAGGGCGACACACGUGCUACAAUGGCAUAUACAAUGAGACGCAAUACCGCGAGGUGGAGCAAAUCUAUAAAAUAUGUCCCAGUUCGGAUUGUUCUCUGCAACUCGAGAGCAUGAAGCCGGAAUCGCUAGUAAUCGUAGAUCAGCCAUGCUACGGUGAAUACGUUCCCGGGUCUUGUAC